RNAcentral lists this ribosomal RNA (746 nucleotides) under uncultured cyanobacterium. RNAcentral describes it as "bacterial SSU rRNA". It matches the Rfam family "Bacterial small subunit ribosomal RNA", at positions 8 to 796 of the family's 1533-position model. Lineage: Bacteria; Bacillati; Cyanobacteriota. The record is from RNAcentral.
AGAGUUUGAUCAUGGCUCAGGAUGAACGCUGGCGGUAUGCUUAACACAUGCAAGUCGAACGGGACUUUUCGGAGUUCAGUGGCAGACGGGUGAGUAACGCGUGAGAAUCUGGCUUCAGGUUCGGGACAACCAUUGGAAACGAUGGCUAAUACCGAAUGUGCCGCAGGGUGAAAGAUUAAUUGCCUGAAGAUGAGCUCGCGUCUGAUUAGCUAGUUGGUGGGGUAAGAGCCUACCAAGGCGACGAUCAGUAACUGGUCUGAGAGGAUGACCAGUCACACUGGGACUGAGACACGGCCCAGACUCCUACGGGAGGCAGCAGUGGGGAAUUUUCCGCAAUGGGCGAAAGCCUGACGGAGCAAUACCGCGUGAGGGAGGAAGGCUCUAGGGUUGUAAACCUCUUUUCUCAGGGAAGAACAAAAUGACGGUACCUGAGGAAUAAGCAUCGGCUAACUCCGUGCCAGCAGCCGCGGUAAUACGGAGGAUGCAAGCGUUAUCCGGAUUUAUUGGGCGUAAAGCGUCCGCAGGUGGCAGUUCAAGUCUGCUGUCAAAGGUCGGGGCUCAACCCCGAACAGGCAGUGGAAACUGAACAGCUAGAGUACGGUAGGGGCAGAGGGAAUUCCCAGUGUAGCGGUGAAAUGCGUAGAGAUUGGGAAGAACACCGGUGGCGAAAGCGCUCUGCUAGGCCGAAACUGACACUCAUGGACGAAAGCUAGGGGAGCGAAUGGGAUUAGAUACCCCAGUAGUCC